AUGAACAUCUUGGAUGACAUGGGGUCCCGCCUGAUCCGCCUUGGUGAAUACCUGCUUUGCUGUGGUGGUCAUCUGUUCCACUAUGGGGAUCUUUGCUCCUGUAUGAUCUGCUGGCCUGGUGGUUCUCUGCUCCACCAUGGCUUCCUGCUUUGCCUGCUCCAAUAUGGCUUCCAUUGUUUCACUGUCUGCCACUGUUCCAUGGCCCUGGUCCUCCAUAGCUCUAAGGCCCAUGGUCUUGUCCUCUGCUCCACGGCCCAGGCCCACCACUGUUCUGUGAUUCUGAUCCUGUUUCCCUGCAUGGGCCUGGCCCUACCUCCCUCCCCCCAGUUCAGCCUCUGCUCUACCAGCCUCCUGGACGUUUGGUGUCUGGAUCUGCCCUUAGAGAGCAGGAUAUGUAACAUGGGUUUUUGGGGUUUUGUUCCUUGUUCAUUGUUUUCUUGUCUUAUUUUGAUAUUUUUGCCUCGUCAUGGUUCCUGUCUAGUCAUGUGAUACCCUUACCCUCAUAUUAUACUGCUAUUGGUUCAUUGGUUCAUGUGUCGUGUUCUCAUUGGUUGUCUUAGUCAUAUUUUCUGUCUCUCAUUGGUUGGUUCUUGUCAUGUGACCUGUAUUGUUUGAUAAAAAAUAGCCCUCAUGUUGCCAUUGUCUCUUCUCGAGUAUUGAUGCCAAAUGCCAAAUCAAUUCUGUUCAAGUCUGUUCAUGCCAGAUCAAGUCUGUUUAUGUCAAGUCUUUCUUAGUUCUUUUGGAUUACUUUGAAUAAAAGCUGCACUUAGGUUCAUCAACUCGCCUUCAGUGGACCGUUUGUUACAGUGAUAUAGCUAUUAAAAGUGUUAAAAUGUGUUAAACAAAUCAGUCAAUGAAUGAAUGAAUGAAUCAAUCAAUCAGUUGUAUUUAAUUAUGCAAAGAUAAAACUGUCACAUGACAUUUAUGGCUGCAAAAAAUAGUAUGCAAGGCUGAGUGCUAAUGAGAUUGCAUUAUACAGUUACAGUAGCAUACAUGCUGUUGAGAUGAAUGGUAAUGCUACAGGAUAGAUCUCCCCAGUAUUACCCCAAUCCAGGACAGUAACCUUCAUAGACAUUGAGGGGGACACGGCCCACAAUAAUUAGAAAAGGCCUAAUUGUCCCCUCCAAUAUUUCUGCUGCACUCCAUUAUACAGCACUGUGUUCGGAUGACAAAAAGGUUUAAAAGUUACAUUUUAAGCUUGGUAAAGAUGUCUAACAGCAUUCCACAAUGUCAAAAUUAUUGAGAUGACCAAUUAAAUUAAAGUAGGCAGAGUUUGCUUUUCACAAAAGCAGAGCUUGAAUUCUAGUACAAAGUGUCAGUUUUAAUGUUGAAAAAAAGUGAGGUUAGAUGAAAGUAGCGAAACAUUUUAUAUUUGACAACUGAAAUGUGACUAUCCAAUGUAAUAUCCAGUGAUGCAGUGAUACUAUUGACUCGUUUUCGCUUUAAAUUUCACAGUUUUUAAUUAAGAAUAUGAUAGAAUUUCCAUGAUUCAUGUAAUUUCAAACUGAAUGGGAGGAGACAUGCACUGUUUUCUUCUUAACUAGAACUGGACCAAGAAUUUCCUUCACCGUUGCAUUUCUUAUGUAAAAAAUGUUCCAUUGUUCAAAAUAUGAGUAUGGCCUUGUCCAAAACCAUCAAAGGGUUUCAUGCUGGAAUAUGAAAUCAGUCCCAAGCACCUCAACUCUAAUGAGACAAAAUUAAAAUGUUUGGAGGGACAACAGGAAAUUAUCAUUUAAACACACACAAACAUAUACAAACAAACACACACUGUCCUUUCAUUAGUACUUUUAGACGGAUCCUGUCAAACAAGCACACACUGACAUAGCCUGCUUGGACUGUAGGAAAAUCAGCUGUCUUGUAAAGACCUGCCAGUCUUAACCAAAAACAGUAUUCUUCAACAAAAUCCUUCACAUGAAAAACAAGACAUCCGUAGCCAGGGAAAGAAGAAAAAAACUGCUAAUCUCUCAGACCCUAGACAGACUACAUUCCAUUCUUUCAUUACUGCCAAACACAUCCUUAGUAUCUCCCCCAAAAAU
Cyprinus carpio carpio is the source of this 2036-nucleotide long non-coding RNA. The record is from Ensembl. Lineage: Eukaryota; Metazoa; Chordata; Actinopteri; Cypriniformes; Cyprinidae.